Molecule: long non-coding RNA, 882 nt
Organism: Felis catus (domestic cat)
Lineage: Eukaryota; Metazoa; Chordata; Mammalia; Carnivora; Felidae
Exons: 5
Source: RefSeq, a predicted model, not a curated record
UUGCAGGCAUAGUCAGUGACAGGAGGAUUCCUUUGGGAACACUAAGAAUUUCCACAGAACUCUCAGGGACACAAGAUACCUUGGCAUGCCUGGAAUAUGUUGUGACUUCACCAGCAGCAAUCAGAUGCACAUGCUCCGGGUUUGGCUAUGAUCACUCAGUUUUUGUGGAAGCAAUAUGGCUGAAAGUGGUGAAAACUACAUGGAGGGCUGUCCCAUGAAAGACUCCAAUGGGAUCCUCUAUCCUUAACAUAGGGAAAGGUACCCAAGAUUGAAGGAGCCUGGUCUCUGAAUGACAUUAUGGAACAGCCUUUAUCUGAACUAGAAACAAACUUCUAUUAAACCAAGAAAACACUGAAGUCCUAGAAGAAGGCUGAGCCACACCAUGGAAAGAACUAAUCUCUGAAUGACUAUGGGAAUAGAGGCCCUCACUGCUCUUAAAGACUUCUGGAACACUACAGUAUGGAUACAAGACCUAGAACAAGUAAAUAGAAUUAUGCCGAUUACAGUCAUGCAAUUUUAGUGUUCUAUGAAGUCAGCAAGUCAGAAAUUAUGAGCAUGUUCUUUGCUCCUAAGAGCCUCCCUCUUGGAUCACUCAUUCUCAGGGAAAUCAGCCACCAUUUUCUGAGCUGCUUUACAGAGAAGCCCAGGAGGUAAAGAGCUGGGGGGACCACAGUCCAGCAGCCAGCAAGGAAAUGAAGCCUGCCAACAACCAGGCAAGUGAGCUUUGAAGUGGAUUCUCUGGUCCUAAUAGAGCCUUCAGAUGAGAGCGGGCCAAGCCAACUGUACUCUUGUGAGAGACGCUGAGCAAGAACCACGCAGAUGCCCACUCCCAGACUCCAAGCCCUCAGAAUCUGUGAGAUAAUAAACGUUGUUUUAACCUGC